GAUGAAGAACGUAGCGAAAUGCGAUAAGUAGUGUGAAUUGCAGAAUUCAGUGAAUCAUCGAAUCUUUGAACGCACAUUGCGCCCCUUGGUAUCCCGAGGGGCAUGCCUGUUCGAGCGUCAUUUGUACCUUCAAGCUCUGCUUGGUGUUGGGUGUUUGUCUCGCCUCUGCGUGUAGACUCGCCUCAAAACAAUUGGCAGCCGGCGUAUUGAUUUCGGAGCGCAGUACAUCUCGCGCUUUGCACUCAUAACGACGACGUCCAAAAGUACAUUUUUACACUCUUGACCUCGGAUCAGGUAGGGAUACCCGCUGAACUUAAGCAUAUCAAUAAGCGGAGGA
This 337-nucleotide unclassified non-coding RNA is filed under the name soil metagenome. Its description in RNAcentral is "partial contains 5.8S ribosomal RNA, internal transcribed spacer 2, and large subunit ribosomal RNA". The stretch from base 1 to 120 matches the Rfam family "5.8S ribosomal RNA", at positions 35 to 154 of the family's 154-position model. The record is from RNAcentral.